UGAACGCUGGCGGCAGGCCUAACACAUGCAAGUCGAACGGUAACAGGAAUCAGCUUGCUGAUUCGCUGACGAGUGGCGGACGGGUGAGUAAUGUCUGGGAAACUGCCUGAUGGAGGGGGAUAACUACUGGAAACGGUAGCUAAUACCGCAUAACGUCGCAAGACCAAAGAGGGGGACCUUCGGGCCUCUUGCCAUCGGAUGUGCCCAGAUGGGAUUAGCUAGUAGGUGGGGUAAAGGCUCACCUAGGCGACGAUCCCUAGCUGGUCUGAGAGGAUGACCAGCCACACUGGAACUGAGACACGGUCCAGACUCCUACGGGAGGCAGCAGUGGGGAAUAUUGCACAAUGGGCGCAAGCCUGAUGCAGCCAUGCCGCGUGUAUGAAGAAGGCCUUCGGGUUGUAAAGUACUUUCAGCGGGGAGGAAGGGAGUAAAGUUAAUACCUUUGCUCAUUGACGUUACCCGCAGAAGAAGCACCGGCUAACUCCGUGCCAGCAGCCGCGGUAAUACGGAGGGUGCUAGCGUUAAUCGGAAUUACUGGGCGUAAAGCGCACGCAGGCGGUUUGUUAAGUCAGAUGUGAAAUCCCCGGGCUCAACCUGGGAACUGCAUCUGAUACUGGCAAGCUUGAGUCUCGUAGAGGGGGGUAGAAUUCCAGGUGUAGCGGUGAAAUGCGUAGAGAUCUGGAGGAAUACCGGUGGCGAAGGCGGCCCCCUGGACGAAGACUGACGCUCAGGUGCGAAAGCGUGGGGAGCAAACAGGAUUAGAUACCCUGGUAGUCCACGCCGUAAACGAUGUCGACUUGGAGGUUGUGCCCUUGAGGCGUGGCUUCCGGAGCUAACGCGUUAAGUCGACCGCCUGGGGAGUACGGCCGCAAGGUUAAAACUCAAAUGAAUUGACGGGGGCCCGCACAAGCGGUGGAGCAUGUGGUUUAAUUCGAUGCAACGCGAAGAACCUUACCUGGUCUUGACAUCCACGGAAGUUUUCAGAGAUGAGAAUGUGCCUUCGGGAACCGUGAGACAGGUGCUGCAUGGCUGUCGUCAGCUCGUGUUGUGAAAUGUUGGGUUAAGUCCCGCAACGAGCGCAACCCUUAUCCUUUGUUGCCAGCGGUCCGGCCGGGAACUCAAAGGAGACUGCCAGUGAUAAACUGGAGGAAGGUGGGGAUGACGUCAAGUCAUCAUGGCCCUUACGACCAGGGCUACACACGUGCUACAAUGGCGCAUACAAAGAGAAGCGACCUCGCGAGAGCAAGCGGACCUCAUAAAGUGCGUCGUAGUCCGGAUUGGAGUCUGCAACUCGACUCCAUGAAGUCGGAAUCGCUAGUAAUCGUGGAUCAGAAUGCCACGGUGAAUACGUUCCCGGGCCUUGUACACACCGCCCGUCACACCAUGGGAGUGGGUUGCAAAAGAAGUAGGUAGCUUAACCUUCGGGAGGGCGCUUACCACUUUGUGAUUCAUGACUGGGGUGAAG
This 1465-nucleotide ribosomal RNA is filed under the name uncultured organism. RNAcentral describes it as "SSU rRNA". It matches the Rfam family "Bacterial small subunit ribosomal RNA". The record is from RNAcentral.